Molecule: ribosomal RNA, 275 nt
Filed under: uncultured bacterium
Lineage: Bacteria
Description: partial 16S ribosomal RNA
Rfam family: Bacterial small subunit ribosomal RNA
Source: RNAcentral
CGAAUACGGAGGGUGCGAGCGUUAAUCGGAAUUACUGGGCGUAAAGCGCAUGCAGGCGGCCUGUUAAGUCAGAUGUGAAAGCCCGGGGCUUAACCUCGGAAUUGCAUUUGAAACUGGCAGGCUAGAGUCUUGUAGAGGGGGGUAGGAAUUUCAGGUGUAGCGGUGAAAUGCGUAGAGAUCUGAAGGAAUACCAGUGGCGAAGGCGGCCCCCUGGACAAAGACUGACGCUCAGAUGCGAAAGCGUGGGGAGCAAACAGGAUUAGAUACCCUGGUAG